CGCUCCUACCGAUUGAGUGAUCCGGUGAAUAAUUUGGACCGACUCAGUGCUCAGCUUCUGGACGUUGCGUUGGAAAGUUUCAUGAACCUUAUCACUUAGAGGAAGGAGAAGUCGUAACAAGGUUUCCGUAGGUGAACCUGCGGAAGGAUCA
This 151-nucleotide ribosomal RNA is filed under the name Symbiodinium sp. 1305. Its description in RNAcentral is "partial 18S ribosomal RNA". It matches the Rfam family "Eukaryotic small subunit ribosomal RNA", at positions 1677 to 1828 of the family's 1831-position model. The record is from RNAcentral. Lineage: Eukaryota; Dinophyceae; Suessiales; Symbiodiniaceae.